Molecule: ribosomal RNA, 638 nt
Filed under: uncultured marine eukaryote
Lineage: Eukaryota
Description: SSU rRNA
Rfam family: Eukaryotic small subunit ribosomal RNA
Source: RNAcentral
GUUAAAAAGCUCGUAGUUGGAUUUCUGGUGGGGUUGUCGGCCUGGCUCCGAAAGGGGUCGUGGCUGGACACACCUUGCCAUCCUCGGGGGUAGCUUGGCUGGCAUUGAGUUGUCGGCGGAGUGACGCUCGUCGUUUACUGUGAACAAAUUAGAGUGUUCAAAGCAGGCUUAGGCCGUUGAAUACAUUAGCAUGGAAUAAUAAGAUAGGACUUUGGUGGUCUAUUUUGUUGGUUUGCACGCCGAAGUAAUGAUUAAUAGGGGCGGUUGGGGGUAUUCGUAUUCAAUUGUCAGAGGUGAAAUUCUUGGAUUUAUGGAAGACGAACUACUGCGAAAGCAUUUACCAAGGAUGUUUUCAUUAAUCAAGAACGAAAGUUAGGGGAUCGAAGAAGAUUAGAUACCUUCGUAGUCUUAACCAUAAACUAUGCCGACUAGGGAUUGGCGGUCGUUUGUUCAGACUCCGUCAGCACCUUAUGAGAAAUCAAAGUCUUUGGGUUCCGGGGGGAGUAUGGUCGCAAGGCUGAAACUUAAAGAAAUUGAUGGAAGGGCACCACCAGGAGUGGAGCCUGCGGCUUAAUUUGACUCAACACGGGGGAACUUACCAGGUCCAGACAUAGUAAGGAUUGACAGAUUGAGAGCUC